GUCUACAGCCAUACUACCCUGAACAAGCCCAAUCCCAUCUAAUCUCGGAAGCUAAGCAGGGUUGGGUCUGGUUAGUACUUGGAUGGGAGACCUCCUAGGAAGACCAGGUGCUGCUGUAG
This 119-nucleotide ribosomal RNA is filed under the name Pteropus alecto (black flying fox). The record is from RNAcentral. Lineage: Eukaryota; Metazoa; Chordata; Mammalia; Chiroptera; Pteropodidae.